AUCUCUCUCUCUCUCUCUCUCUCUCUCUAUAUAUAUAUAUAUAUAUAUAUAUAUAUACAUAUAUAUAUAGAGAGAGAGAGGUGGGAGAAAGGGAGAGAGAGAGAGAGAGAU
Molecule: microRNA precursor, 111 nt
Filed under: Marmota monax (woodchuck)
Lineage: Eukaryota; Metazoa; Chordata; Mammalia; Rodentia; Sciuridae
Source: RNAcentral